Long non-coding RNA from Gallus gallus (chicken), 1466 nucleotides. The record is from Ensembl. NCBI's taxonomy places the organism in Eukaryota, Metazoa, Chordata, Aves, Galliformes, Phasianidae.
GGAUGCUUGAGACUAGGAAAAGAAUUAUCUAGUUGUGAGCUGCCUCUGCUCUUGGGAAAUGCAGCAUCUUUAGUGAACAUAUGUGAAUCGUGGUGUGUUGGUUUCACAGCUGAUCUGGAGAUGAGCAGCUCUGUACUGAUUCUUCAGGAAACGCUCCUCAUCUGCUGGGGCUGAUGGUGCUGACUGCUCCUCCGUCUGCAGCAAUGGAGCAACCGUGGCUCAGAAGCCCACACACACUCAUGUGAAGCGUGGGUAGCUUGACGUGGUCUCACAAUAGGUCAAGUGCCCCAGUGCCAGUGGUGUCAGCACAGAUGGCCUCUGGGACAGAUUGCUCUAUCUCUGAGAUGUUUCGGAAGUGGUGGGCUGCAGUAAUCCUUCCCUAGCAGGGAGAAGUCCCAGAAAUCAGAAAGUUUCCUAUGCAAAAUCAAGUGUUUUCCUUCUUCUGCCACCUUUGUGGCUUCAAGUAGCUCAACUGAUUUCAGCACCUAAGAAAAAGUCGCAAGGGAAAUACAGACUCCUGGUCAAUGAAGUGCCACAUCUCUCUCUCCAGGUUCCUGUUUUUACAUCUGAAGAGCCACAGCUGAUCAGAGAAAUGUCAUUCACCCUAAGCAAUAAUGUCUUCAGGAAAAGAGGAACAAUAUUUUUGAUAAAAUGCUUAAACUGUUAUGGGACUUUGAAUAGAAUCUUGCUGUGGAGGAGAAGGCCCACAGGACAAAGUGCAGGAAAAAAAUGGGAGUGUUCUUGUUCAAACAGUGGGCUUGCUGGAGGAAGUGACUCCUGCCCAGUGCACCCAGUGGAUAUUCAGCUUUCUGAGGUCUCUGAGGGCAGAUUGAGUUGACAUCGUUUUGCUCCACAGAAUAAACUUACUGAAAGGGAUUGAGACCACUGGGAAAAAUGCCUGAUGUUAGAAGAUCUUCACCUCUCAUCCAGAUACUGUCCUACAGCAGUUUCCAGCAAUGAGUGGCACAUCUCUACACCCAACCUUUUCACAUACAGGAUGCCUAUUGCACUCCCAUUCUUUAGGACCCAGUCAUGAGGCAUGUGAAAGGCAGUGGGUGCUCCAUCCCUGGAACUGUUCAAAACCAGGUUGGAUGGAGCCCUGGGCAACCUGUUCUGGUACCAUGUCUGGAGGUUGGUGGCCCUGCAUGUGGUUGGGGCUUGAUGAUCCUUGGGGUCCCUUCCAACCCAAGCCGUUCUAUGAUUCUAUGAUUGUAUUAAUCCAUCAGAAUGGAGCUCUGUGGCAUUGGCAGUCACUGGCCGCAGACAACAGGGCACACACAAGCAAGUCUCAACAAGCAGCUUUGUGGUGUUUCACAUCCCAGAGCAUUCCAGGCAAGUUUAUUUACUGACUAAUGGCCCUUUUGCUUCAGUGAGACUCUUCCUUCUUGAAGGAAGUUCACAUCACGAAACCCAGAGCUUAGCAGAAAGGAUACAGAUCUCUGUUUUAAACAGAAAUCGAUUUCAGU